Molecule: ribosomal RNA, 497 nt
Filed under: uncultured bacterium
Lineage: Bacteria
Description: partial 16S ribosomal RNA
Rfam family: Bacterial small subunit ribosomal RNA
Source: RNAcentral
GAUGAACGCUGGCGGCGUGCCUAAUACAUGCAAGUCGAGCGAACAGACGAGGAGCUUGCUCCUUCGACGUUAGCGGCGGACGGGUGAGUAACACGUAGGUAACCUACCUAUAAGACUGGGAUAACUUCGGGAAACCGGAGCUAAUACCGGAUAAUAGUUCGAACCGCAUGGUUCGAUAGUGAAAGAUGGAUUUGCUAUCACUUAUAGAUGGACCUGCGCCGUAUUAGCUAGUUGGUAAGGUAACGGCUUACCAAGGCAACGAUACGUAGCCGACCUGAGAGGGUGAUCGGCCACACUGGAACUGAGACACGGUCCAGACUCCUACGGGAGGCAGCAGUAGGGAAUCUUCCGCAAUGGGCGAAAGCCUGACGGAGCAACGCCGCGUGAGUGAUGAAGGUCUUCGGAUCGUAAAACUCUGUUAUUAGGGAAGAACAAACGUGUAAGUAACUGUGCACGUCUUGACGUUACCUAAUCAGAAAGCCACGGCUAACUACGUG